CAUGGCUCAGGAUGAACGCUGGCGGCGUGCUUAACACAUGCAAGUCGAACGAAGCGCAUUGUUUGAAUUCUUCGGAAGGAAGAUAAUGUGACUGAGUGGCGGACGGGUGAGUAACGCGUGGGUAACCUGCCAUGUACAGGGGGACAACAGUUGGAAACGGCUGCUAAUACCGCAUAAGCGCACGAGAUUGCAUGAUCUAGUGUGAAAAACUCCGGUGGUAUAUGAUGGACCCGCGUCUGAUUAGCUAGUUGGUAAGGUAACGGCUUACCAAGGCGACGAUCAGUAGCCGACCUGAGAGGGUGACCGGCCACAUUGGGACUGAGACACGGCCCAGACUCCUACGGGAGGCAGCAGUGGGGAAUAUUGCACAAUGGGCGAAAGCCUGAUGCAGCGACGCCGCGUGAACGAAGAAGUAUUUCGGUAUGUAAAGUUCUAUCAGCAGGGAAGAAGAAAUGACGGUACCUGACUAAGAAGCCCCGGCUAACUACGUGCCAGCAGCCGCGGUAAUACGUAGGGGGCAAGCGUUAUCCGGAUUUACUGGGUGUAAAGGGAGCGCAGGCGGCCCGGCAAGUCUGAUGUGAAAACCCAAGGCUCAACCAUGGGAUUGCAUUGGAAACUGUCGAGCUAGAGUAUCGGAGGGGUAAGUGGAAUUCCUAGUGUAGCGGUGAAAUGCGUAGAUAUUAGGAGGAACACCAGUGGCGAAG
RNAcentral lists this ribosomal RNA (704 nucleotides) under Lachnobacterium sp. G48. RNAcentral describes it as "bacterial SSU rRNA". It matches the Rfam family "Bacterial small subunit ribosomal RNA", at positions 18 to 720 of the family's 1533-position model. The record is from RNAcentral. Lineage: Bacteria; Bacillati; Bacillota; Clostridia; Lachnospirales; Lachnospiraceae.